GGCCGGUUUGUUUGGUAUAAAGUAAUUUCAUUGUUGAAAGUAUUUUUUGUAGAAAAUAUUUUGGAAGAAAUUAAUUAAUUUAUGCAUGUUGGUUGUAAUACUAAUCAAGUCUUGUUCUAUGAAGGUGACAAUGAGAAUAUCUCCCCAAAAUAUGACAUCUUCAUAUUUUCCAUUUAGUUUUAAAUACCUUAAUAGGAGGAAAAUUUCUCUUAAAGAGUAAUUAUCAGUAGUUAGUGAACUUGUUCAUAAUUUUGUAUGUUCCUUUGUGACUUUGUUGUGUUGUGGGUUCUUAUUCCUUCUCAUCAUGAGAAUUG
Molecule: unclassified non-coding RNA, 314 nt
Filed under: Hevea brasiliensis (rubber tree)
Lineage: Eukaryota; Viridiplantae; Streptophyta; Magnoliopsida; Malpighiales; Euphorbiaceae
Source: RNAcentral